RNA transcript from Bactrocera dorsalis (oriental fruit fly), 4978 nucleotides. It is a transcript of the gene named ribonucleoprotein RB97D, with no coding region annotated. The record is from RefSeq and is a predicted model, not a curated record. The transcript has 6 exons. NCBI's taxonomy places the organism in Eukaryota, Metazoa, Arthropoda, Insecta, Diptera, Tephritidae.
UGCAAACAAAUGGCAUUAAAUGAAUAUGAAUAUUUCCAUAUAUUCAUGAAUUGGUGUCAAAAUAUAAGUAUAUUUAUCCAUAAUAUAAUUAAUUUCUUGCAAAAUGUUCGAGAAUUGUAAGUGGUUUCCUUGACGACGGCUUCUUGAAACUACUAUUCAACAUCAAGUUGUUAGCAACCUAUAUAUUUAAAUUUUUUUCAAUUUUGACAUGUAACUUGUGUGGUCAACUUGAGGGCAAGUUCUUGAGCAUGUAAGUGCAGCGUUUCGCAAAUGUUCACGCACAUUGUGUGGUUUCAGUAAAAAUAUUAAAAAAAUACUUGGCAGCCCAGAAAAAUUUUGAAUACAUACAAGAGAGCUCAUGCACCGCCACCAUUUUAUUUCACUUUGAAGUAGCCCUCGCCAUUCCAUUAAUUUCAUAUAUGUGAAGUGAACAAACACCAGUUUUCUUGUGAAUAAACCUGGUUAAUUUAAUUAAAAUAGUUAAUUCUUAACAAAUUGAAAAUGAUUAAGACAGAAAAUAUUUAUCAAGUGGCCCAUAAACCUGAGGAGCACCAAAAUGGUGGAGAGGUAGAAGUUGAUCACCUUCGCAAAAUGUUUAUUGGAGGUUUGUCAGCAGUAACAACUGAAGAGUCUCUCCGGAGUUUUUAUAAGCAAUGGGGCGACGUAGUUGAUGCUAUAGUUAUGCGUGAUCCAGCAACAAAGCGUUCCCGCGGAUUUGGAUUUAUUACUUAUUCUGACACGUUUAUGGUAGAUCGAGCGCAAGCGGCCCGUCCACACGUAAUUGACGGCAAGCAAGUAGAUUCGAAGCGUGCAUUACCUAAACCUGAAUUAGGUAAACCAGAAGCUAGUACAACGGUGAAAAAAAUAUUUGUAGGUGGUUUAAAAGAAAAUCAUGAUGAACAGGCUUUAACAGAACAUUUCUCACAAUUUGGCAAUGUGGUUGGAGUUAAAAUUUUAACAGACAAAACCACCGGACGCAAACGUGGUUUUGCGUUUGUAGAGUUUGAUGAUUACGACGCCGUAGACAAAGCAGUUUUACAUAAAAAUCACACCAUUAAGUAUGUGUUGGUUGAUGUAAAAAAAUCUGUUUACAAACAAGAAUUAGCCAAGAAACGAGCCACUCAAGCACAGCAAGCAGGUGUACCACCAGGUGCAGCACCUGCAAACGGGUAUCAACAACCAGCAGCUCCGUAUGCCCAACAGCCUGCCUAUGGCUAUCCACCACAAAUGGGUCCCCCGGCAUACAAUGGAUGGGGCGGUUAUCCCCAAGCUGCACCACCCGCUGCUUAUCAACAACCUCCACCAGCAGCUCCCGUGGCUGGAUACGGUGCCUACACAGCGCCACCGCAAAACGGUGCAGCUCCGGGUUGGGGUGCACCCGCCGCAUAUCCAGCUCCUACCGCUUGGCCUCAAAAUGGAUACGCAGCGGCUCCACCUGCCGCGGCCCCAGUACCACCACCUACAGCUGCACCUGCUGCCGCACCAGCCGUAAAUAGUUGGAAUGGAGCCGCCGCCGCACCUACUGCAGCUGCUCCACAAAAUUUUGGUGAUUACCAGCAGUCAUAUAAUGGUGGCCCGCAAAAGGCCGGCAGCUUACAAGGAAACCGAAUGAACCCUUAUAGUGUGUCAUCGGCGCCUAGUUAUGGCAUUUAAGAUGUAUGCUUAUACAUAACAUUAAUGUACUACUACAUAGAUAACCAGAAUUAUUUUAAGAGAAACAAAUUAAAAAACAAAACAACCCAAUCCAACCCCAAGAAAGAAAGAUUUACAUAAAAUGCACUACGUACAUUACAUAGAGCAAAACAAAAGAACAAAACGCACUUCAUUAAGGAUGAUUUCCGAUAUUUAUAAUAAUUAAUAUAUGAACAUAUGUAUUUUAAAGCAAAUAACUUAAAUAAUACAUUCGCUGCUAUGUACACAUUUAUUAUGUAGCGUCCAAAAAUGAUAUAGUAGAUCGCUUAUAUAGAUGAUACUUAAUAUCGGAUAAAUAUUUCCAUAAAAGUCAGCGUGCUAACGUUUUGGUAAUAUAAAAGUAACAACAAAUACUGAGGCAAUGCAGUUCAAAAGCGACGAAAAAAUAUUUGAACGUAUUCAGCACAACUUGGAUCAAAAUUGCAGACAGCAAUUAGAACUCACCAGCAUUGAAACAAAUAUAGACAUUGAUUCAUAGAUUAAGAAACUUAUUUAAUAUUUCAGCACAGCUGUAAGAGCGCUUUAGAACUAGCAUGAAAUAGAAAACAAUUAUUAUAACGAGAGGAAUAAUUGCUGUUAUACUUUGCGUUGCAAAUGAAUUUUCUAGGGUUUUGUUUUAUUUAAUUUUGCUUUUUUUUUUACAUUGAACUAAUACAAGAGAACUGAACUGUUUGUUUAACAUCCAUGACAAAGAAGUUUUAGUUUAUAAAGAGUUAACAGUCUUUACUUUUGGCACUUUAGAAUUCCUAAGUGUAUGUUUUUUCCUUUUCUAUUAACACUUGCAAUAUUUUAAAUUAUAAUGAAGAACAUGUUCUCUUAUAGUGACUGCAAAAUUCAAAAAAAAAAAAAAAAAAAAAAAAGGCAAAUAAUAAAAGGAACACUUUUAUACUUUAAUAAUACUUAUGUGUGUGUUACAAUUUAUAUUGUAUUUAAUAGUACUAUGUAUAAUUAAAUUUAUAUUGAUUACAAUUAAAAGCUGAAUUACAAAUAAAGUAUACUAUAAUCACAUUUCUUAUGGUAUAUAAGUUUUAUUGCAUUUUUUACUUAACAACUUAUUUGCUCUUUAAGUGCAGGUAUGGAUAUCUAACAAAUUUUUGUAUGAUUAAUAGAUAUCUAAAUUCGUAUUUCAUAUUGGUAUAUCAACCUCCUUAUCAGUAUUUAUAGAAAAGUAUGUCGCAACGAAUUAUUUAUGAAACAUUUUUACUUUUCAAUUGACAAAUAAACAAACGAGAAUUUCCGGAGAUAAUAAAAAUUUAAACGAACCUUGUGUAGUCCCAUAUUUCAAAAGAUUUUUUUAAAUAAGUCUAAAAAUCCAAGUGUUUAAAACAAGAAAUAACAACUUUUGGGUCUAUUGAGCACUUUUCGUGUAAAAUGUAAAAUAUUUAUAUAAGAAAUUGUUUUAAUACAUGUUUUAUACUCUUUGUACCGUUUACUUAUCUCGCUACGCUACCUUUCUUCCGAAUCGUUUCUUACUUGUAUAGACGCUCAAUUCUCUAACACUGGUAUUUGUUUUUCUUAAAAUUUGUGUAUCUCCAUUUGCAACUGAAAUGUGCGACAGGAUUUAUAUUAUAUGCAUAUUAUACUUUAUAAUAGUUGUAACCCAACUUUUGUAUUUUCAGGUAUUAGAAAUAUUCAACUUAUCGUGUAUAUUACAGAAACAGUAUUUUCUACAAUAUUUUUAUUCGCACUGCUACCAAUAUGCCGCUAUAAAAUAUUCGAACUACCAAAUCUAUGUAUGUGUUGUGUAUAUAUGCUUUGUAUCUUGCUCCUAUGUACUACAUAUAUUCAUUAUAAGAUAUCGCAUAUACACCUAUGUACAUAUACAUAUAUGCCUAAGUAUGUAGGAUCUUGAUCUCUACUAACUCGAACUGGCGAGGGACAAUGGUAAAGCACGGUACCAGGGGACCAAAGGAAUUUAUUACUACGCAUGGUGCGAGUAGCCACUUUGGAAAAAUAAAAUUUCAAAUUGUGAAGUUGAACACAGCAAUCGUUCGCCGGAGUUGUUGUUUUUAAUGUGACGAAAGAUGACAGCGACCAAAGUGAACGAGGUAAGUAAGAGUAACUUUUUACAGACUUACCGCUCCAUCGAUCCAGUAAACUGAACAAAUUACGAUAUUUUUAUGAAAACAAAUUUGAUAAAUAUAAAAUAAAAUUGACAAUUAGUAAAAAAAAAAUAAAAAUACUGUUUUAUUGUGAGUUUAUAUUUAUUUUUUUAUAACAUCAAACAACCAGAGCACAGUGGUCUCCCUCUUAUCAAGCACCAAUAAAACUUUCUAAACAUAGAUUAGCAUUUAUUACUGAUAUGAGGAUAUCAACUUCGUAAUUGGUAUAUAGUACAUAUGUAUAUGUUACUUUUACAUACAAAUGUAAGUAUUGUCUCCCCUACUGUUAAUUUUAUCCCACACUUUCGACAUAUGGCUUAAUGUCAUUUGCAUUCACAGAUACAUAUGUAUGUAUAUCGAAACAUUUUAGCCACAUAGGGAUUGAUGAUUUCCAUUCUUUUGGUUAUUCCAUAUGAAAUAUAUUAAUAAACAAACUGCAAAUCUAGCAAUUCCGAAGCUGUAUGUAACAAGAACCCUGAUGGUCCGCCCAAGGACGCUCAACUCGCCACCAUUCCUCGAAAUUACUUCAGGAAUAUUUUCUGCCGUUACAACAACAACAAGAAGAUUUCACAAUUUAUGAAGCUAUUGAAGCCUCAAAGUGAGGUUCUAACCAACGUAAGUUAUAUAACAGCUGUGCUGAAAAGUUCGUAGACUAUGUUUGUUUUCAUAAAAUUUGAUUUUAUUAUUCAACAAGUUACUUCACAAAAAUGACUUAUGUAUCUCAUUAACUAAUAGAUAUAAUUCAACUAAUAGAAAUCACAUACUUAGAUGGCGUGGCAGGUCCUCUAGUUUUAACAUAAAGAGUAUCCUAUGUCCUUACUCUGGUUCUAAGCUACCUCCCCACCAAUUUUCAGCCAAAUCGGUUCAGCCGUUCUUGAGUUAUAAAUGGUGUAACUAAUACAACUUUCUUUUAUAUAUGUACAUAUCGUCACCUGAAAUGCAAAAUAACGUAACAACAUUUUCGGAAAUUUUCAGUGGCAUGAAUGAAACACGAAAUAAAAUGGAACAAGAGUGAAAAAAUAAUUUUAAUAUUGGUUAAAACUGGUUAAUAUAUGAGCGCAGAACCUGAAAAUGUUGGACAUAUACAAUAUUAUAUAUGUAAUUUGAAGUAGUGAGUCGUAAUCAAUAGGAUACUCAAUUUCGAAUUUUUUGAUGAUACGUUAUUUUGCAUUUCAGGUGACGAU